This 383-nucleotide ribosomal RNA is filed under the name uncultured cyanobacterium. RNAcentral's name for it is "bacterial SSU rRNA". It matches the Rfam family "Bacterial small subunit ribosomal RNA", at positions 376 to 774 of the family's 1533-position model. Lineage: Bacteria; Bacillati; Cyanobacteriota. The record is from RNAcentral.
CGAAAGCCUGACGGAGCAACGCCGCGUGAAGGACGAAGGCCUCUGGGCUGUAAACCUCUUUUCUCAAGGAGGAAGAUAUGACGGUACUUGAGGAAUAAGCCACGGCUAAUUCCGUGCCAGCAGCCGCGGUAAUACGGGAGUGGCAAGCGUUAUCCGGAAUUAUUGGGCGUAAAGCGUCCGCAGGCGGCUUUUCAAGUCUGCUGUUAAAGCGUGGAGCUUAACUCCAUCAUGGCAGUGGAAACUGAAAGGCUUGAGUAUGGUAGGGGCAGAGGGAAUUCCCGGUGUAGCGGUGAAAUGCGUAGAUAUCGGGAAGAACACCAGUGGCGAAGGCGCUCUGCUGGGCCAUUACUGACGCUCAUGGACGAAAGCCAGGGGAGCGAAAG